CAUCAUAAAGUUGUUCAUAUUUUAUUUGAAAAUUUUUUUUACUUGCUACAUUGCUCCCCUUAUUUUAAUACAGAGUCACCCAAGUGCUUAUGACAUGAGGAACAAAUCUUUUCCUUAAUUUGAAGACCUAACUAAUAUCUUUAGAAGAGAUCGUGCUAUCGGAAUGGGAGCUGAAGCACCUGCAGAUGCUAGUGGGGAAAU
Molecule: long non-coding RNA, 201 nt
Filed under: Elaeis guineensis (African oil palm)
Lineage: Eukaryota; Viridiplantae; Streptophyta; Magnoliopsida; Arecales; Arecaceae
Description: long non-coding RNA (EGUI_LNC001605)
Source: RNAcentral